RNAcentral lists this ribosomal RNA (497 nucleotides) under uncultured bacterium. Its description in RNAcentral is "bacterial SSU rRNA". It matches the Rfam family "Bacterial small subunit ribosomal RNA", at positions 28 to 526 of the family's 1533-position model. The record is from RNAcentral.
GACGAACGCUGGCGGCGCGCCUAACACAUGCAAGUCGAGCGAUGAAAUCAAAUGGAAUUUUUCGGAAUGAAAUUUGAAAGAUUAGCGGCGGACGGGUGAGUAACACGUGAGCAACCUACCUUUAACAUGGGGAUAGCCUCGGGAAACCGGGAUUAAUACCGAAUAAAAUCUCUUUAUCGCAUGAUAAAGAGAUCAAAACUCCGGUGGUUAAAGAUGGGCUCGCGCCUGAUUAGCUAGUUGGUGAGGUAACGGCUCACCAAGGCGACGAUCAGUAACCGGCCUGAGAGGGUGAACGGUCACAUUGGAACUGAGAAACGGUCCAAACUCCUACGGGAGGCAGCAGUGGGGAAUAUUGCACAAUGGGGGGAACCCUGAUGCAGCGACGCCGCGUGAGCGACGAAGGCUUUCGAGUCGUAAAGCUCUGUCCUAUGGGAAGAUAAUGACGGUACCAUAGGAGGAAGCCCCGGCUAACUACGUGCCAGCAGCCGCAGUAACAC